Molecule: long non-coding RNA, 5889 nt
Filed under: Sus scrofa (pig)
Lineage: Eukaryota; Metazoa; Chordata; Mammalia; Artiodactyla; Suidae
Description: lncRNA (ENSSSCG00040060113.1)
Source: RNAcentral
UUUUUUGUGUGUGUGUUUUUAGGGCUGCACCCGUGGCAUAAUGGAGGUUUGCAGGCUAGGGAUCUAAUGGGAGCUGUUGCCGCCGGCUUAUGCCACAGCCACACCAACUCAGGAUCCGAUCCAUGUCUGCAACCUACAUCACAGCUCACAGCAAAGGUGGAUCCUGAACCCACUGAGCGAGGCCAGGGAUUGAACCCCCAACCUCAUGGUUAUUAGUCGUCGGGUUUGUUAACCACUGAACCACAACAGGAACUCCUAGAACUAUUUUUAAUAUAGGAUUUUAAUCUAUAAAUUUGUCUAAACUGCUUUAGCUGCAUGCUUCAAUAUAUUGUGUGUUCAUUUUCAUUCAUUUCAAAGUACUUUCACUGUGAUUUAUUCUUUGGCCAAUUGGUUAUUCAGGAGGGUCUUGUUUAAUCUCCACAUAUUUGUGCAUUUUUCUGUUUUCCUUCUGACACCAAUUUUUAAUUUCAUUCUACUGUGAUUUAACAACAUAUUUUGAUUUCAGUGUCUUUCAAUUUGUUAAAACUGGUUCUAUAGCUUACAUAUUGUCUAUUGUGGAGAAUGUCCCAAGGGCAUUUGAAAAAAUGAGUGUCCUGCUGUUGUUUAGGGUGGAAUAUUCUAUAGGUGUUUAUUAAGUUUAGGUGGUUUAUAGUGUUUUUAAGGUUUCUCCCUCCUUAUUGAUCUUCCAGAUGUUCUCUGAAUUACUGAAGAUAGUUUCUGAUGAGAAGCUGAAAUCUUUUGAAUCAUGUAUUUUUCCUUCCAGUCCUGUCGAUUUUUGCUUCAUGAAUUUUGAACCUCAGUUAUUAGGUUGUUAUAUAUUUUGGAUAGAUUAACAUUUUAAAAUUAUUUUUAAAAAAUCCCUCUUUACCUCUAAACUAAAAUAGCUUAGUUUUAAAGCUCAUGUUGUCUGAUAAUAGUAUAGCCAUUCCAUUUAUUAAAACGACAAUAUAACUUUUUCCAUCCUUUCACUUUCAAUAUUUGCUUUGAAUCCAAAUUGUAUUUCCUGUAGACAGUACACAAGUGGAUUUUCUUACCAAUCUGAAAAUACAUGUCUUUGGAUUUGAUUACUGAGUUCACCUCUAAGUCAUCACUGAUAUAGUUGGACUUAUAUUUGCCAUUAUACUUUGGUUUUCUAUAUAUUUCAUCUUAUAGUCAUCUGUUCUUCCUUUUUUAUUUUUUAUUGAGUAAAUAUUUUCACAAUAAAGUUUUAAAUCCUUCAAAUAUGUUUUCACUACAUUUUUUAGUUAUUUUCUUAGUGGUUCAUUUAAGGCUAACAAUGCACAUGUGAACAUAUCAAAAUCUGUUUUAGAUAUAUACUGACCAAAUCCAGUGAUUAUAUAUAAUAUUACCAAAAAACUGGGAAAAAAAAAGAAAGAAGGAACAGUUAUAUAACUCACAUCCAUUUUUUUUACUAUUUUUUAUAAUAUAAUACUACAUCUAGCUAUGUUACAAAUGCCAAAAUACAUUGUUAUAACAUACUUUGUAUGUUUUUAUUUAUUUUAAAUAAGUUGAGAGAGUGAAGGAAAGCAAAUAUAUGUUUUUAGACUUUGUCAUUUAUUUUCAGUAUAAGGAUUUUCUUUUAGUAUUUUUGCAAAGGCAGGUAUAGGAGCAAAAAUUCUUGUUCUCUUACUUUGUAACCAUAUGAGAUAAUGGGUGUUCACUAAAAUUACUGUGGCCAUCACUUCAUGACGUUUGUCAGUUAGAUCACAAUGUUGUGCACUUUCAACAUAACACAGCACUGGACACCAAUUAUAUCUCAUCCAAACUGGAUGAAAAAAAUUUAGGCUGAAGACUUUACCACGAGAUGUUAUUAAACUCAAUUCUCUAAAGCAAAUAUCAGAAAACACAAUGUUAGAAACAAAAGUAAAUGACGAAUAUGUACACACUAUGAACCAAAAUAAGGUUAUCAUAGGUGGGAAAAAAAUGUCAGUUUAAUAAACCAUGCUCAAAUUUGGUGGUUUUUACGCUGAAAAUAUAUAAAAGCAAGUAUAAGUAGUUUUAAAAAUUAAAAAAAAAAGGUUUUAAAAAACAGUCAAGUGAAGUUGUGACCACCUCUGAUGAGAAACUAUGAUGCCAUCAGAAACGGAAGAAAAGCAUGCCUUCUGCUGGAUUAUUUCAAAGAGCCAAUUUGAUUGCCCAAAGUUGCAUUGCUAUAGACUAAAUAUGAGUCUUCUUUUGGCUCUACUUACUGUGUGUUAUAUGAUUAUAUGAAAUACUUCAAGUCAUUAACUCCUUUAACUUGUAAGUUUAAGAAAGAAAUUCCUAUUUUCACUUCUAAAUAAAAUCCUAACCCACCUGAAGAAAAUUCUAUGACAACUUAAUAAACUUAAUGUUCUCUAGGAAGAUAAUAAGAAUUAUGAUUUGAAUAUUUACUUUAAUAGAAUUAAAGCAUAUGUAUGCUUCUACAUUUUAUAGCGUGUGCAUUAUACUUCAACCAUCAAUUUGUGCCUCUGUAACCUUCAUUCUCAAUUCCUGAUUAUGAAGUUUCACUCCUCUAGUUAUCUAAUCCUGGGAGCCAGAAGGAAAGCUGAUUAAUUAGAAUUCAAUCAAACACGGCUUUGAGAUAAUUUUCUUUCUGCAAAUUGAUAAGGCAGAGGUUAGAGAAUGUGCUCCAGCAGGAGAGAAGAUUGCUUCCCGCUUCUGAUGCUUAAGAACUUAACAUUAUCAAGACAACUUACCUUUCCUGGGGGUCCCCCAGCCAAAAUCGCUAACGGUGUUGUGUGGGAAGUUUGCCAUUUCAUUAAUGAAAUCAGCUAGGCAGAAAUUCUUAAGGCUGUACAAUACCUGGUAAUCUCUUCCUAUUACAAAGUGUCCAUUCUUCAAUUUACUUCCCUUGGAAUUUAGUGUGUUUUUUUUUGGGGGGGGGGUGUAAUUUGGCAGGACAGAUUAUACCUUUAGGUUUAAGACAUCAGAGAAAACGUUAUCCCUUAAAUCAUUUGUUGAAUGUUAUUGGAAAUAAUUAUAUUUGUUUUCCCUCCAAACCGAGAAAAAUACACUGUUUAUAAACAAUAAAGUGAAAGUUGGUCACAGCACGAGUUACAUUUUUUAAUGUUUGUGCUUUAUUCCAAAUUAAUGUGUUUUUAAAUCCAUGGCUCGGAAGUUAAAUGCUGCCAAAGGAAACCAGUGGUGUGGAGAGUGAGAAGGAAGGUGAGUUCGCAGGAACAGGGUCACAGACUUGGCCCAGAGCAGCCCACCCCCCGCUGGGCCCACGGCAUCCGGUUCGCCUGGCCUCACAAGCAGAACACAGUUAAAUGAGGUCCCCAGGGGUCUGGGAGCGGCCUCUCUGCACACCACCCAGAGGGGGCCCUCAGCAGGUGCACUGGGCGGCCGGGCUCCCCCUCCACGUGGUCAGCAAACCGGCUCACUCGUCCCUCGUCCUGACAUCACCUACACCUCACACAGCGCCUGCGCGCCACAGCUCCUCACAGUACUGCCAACAGAGCCCCAGGACCCCUCCGCAACCGUGCCCCACCGUCCCCGAGCCUGGUCCCCGCAGAGAACCUGCCGCCCUGGACCCGGUCAACAGGGUCAAGUUGGCACAGAAAAGUGCCUCCCCCACGAUCCAUAGCACUUAGAGGGGAUGUACUACAUGAUGACAUAAGGGUUCGCAGCUGCAUAAUCGAGGGCCCCCCCUCGCUGACCGACCCCGGGUGGGGAGGGGGCCCCGCGAGGGGUUACCUCAGCCCCUCAGGGUCAAAAGCCACUGCCUCCCCCACCUGAGGAGUCCUACCUGAGCCGAGGCCGAGGCGCCGCCGUCCACGUCCGGGGGUCCCGGGUCCAGAGCCGAGGGGUUCCUGGGUCCAGAACCGAGGGCUCCCAGGUCCACAUUGAGGGGGUCCCAGGUCCACAGCCAAGGGGGUCCCAGGUCCACAUCCGAGGGUCGCGUCCAAGUCCCCGGCCCCACAUGGGCAGGUGCAAAGAUGGCGCUCGUGGACAGGAAUUCGCUCCUUUCUGUCCAAAUGAGGUUCUCUGAAAACCCUUAGAAGUGAGGUCAGGAACAACGUGCUGGAAACCGCAAGUGUAUCCGGCGGCCUCACGGGGCGGGUCCUCCCUCCGCCACCCCGAGCAGGGUCAGGUGGCCGGACCACAGGGAGCCGGCAGCGGGCAGCGCUGUGGGUCCACGGGGUGGGCGUUCCCAGAGGCCCCCACGCCCGGAAGAGCACGGCUCUGAGGAGCCUGGAGUCCAGCCAGACAGGGCUGGGGUCAGGGGUCAGAGGUCAGGAGGGGAGCAAAGGUCAGCCAAGGCUGAGCAGUGCGGCCACAGGGGAGGCGGCGCACCUGCUGACCCGAGAUGUCCCUCCCGCGGAGGGUCAGGGCUCAGCUGCCCCCCACCCUCCCACCGCCCGAUGCUCACCUCCGGCUGACCUGUGCACCCUCCCUACUGCCUCUACCUGAGCCCCGGCCUGCCUCCCAGCAAGAGACCCCACGGGACGACAGCCAAGGGGACAGGCCCCUGGGGCCACGCGUCUACCGCGCAGGAAGCCCUGACCCGGCGCCUGGAGGGCCGCUCUGUGCCCUUCGGAAAAGCCUUCUGCACAGCUUUCCUUUGUUCCUGAUAUUGCGAAAUCCCCCGCAUAACAUCCAUCGGUGUCAAGUGUUUAUUUUCCACUUGUUUAUGUCACAUCCUGUUCCCUCGUGGACCCACUUGGAGGUGAGUCUCAUGAAAACAGUAAACAGUCUGCCCUGUGCAGCCUCAUGGCCCAGAAAAAAAAGGUAAUAUUUUGGAAAUAAAUAUAAAAAUGCAAAAACAGAAAUAAUGAGUGCUUGCCUUGCAACCCCUCCUGUCUGUAUGGAAGACUCUUAAAUAAGGUCGUCUGCACCUCAGUUUACAAAAAGAAAGCUCUUUUCACUCCUUUCUGUUUCACCUACAUGUUCACACACUGAACUUCAAAGAAGGCUUUACUUUCCCCUAAAAAAAGAAGUAAAAUCUAAUUAAAUUUGCACUGAUUGCAAGGUACAUCUGGAUGAAUCAUUGCUGUACAGUAAAUUGGGCUGUGAAUCUUGAGAUUAAUAUCAGCUGUCAGAAAUGGUAGCUGAUCUUUCCAAUUCUCUCCCCAACCCAAUUUUUGAAAUAAAAAUAAGACUAAAUAACUCAAGAAGGAAAUAUACUUUGUAAAAGAAGCAGUUAAUUGAAAAAUAAACGAAAAUAUCACGUACCUCAACACCAACAUGAACCAAAAAAAAGUAAAAAAAAAAAAUGCAGGCGUUCCCAUCUUGGCUCAGCAGUUAACGAACUUGACUAGUAGCCAUGAGGAUGCAGGUUCAAACCCUAGCCUCUCAGUGGGUUAAGGAUCCAGCAUUGCUGUGAGCCUGAUGUAGAUUCCAAAUGCAGCUUGGAUCCUGUGUUGCUGUGGCUGUGGCAUAAGCCUGCAGCUACAGCUCCAAUUUGACCCCUGGUCUGGGAACUUCCAUAUGCUGCAGAUGCAGCCCCAAGAAAAGGCAAAAAAAAAAAAAAAAGCAGAAAGAAGGUAAUAAAACAAAUUUUAAGGCCACUAACAAAGAGAAAUAUUUCAAAUUAUGUAAUAAAUGAGAUCUUUUCAUGUGUAAAUAUGCCUCUGAAGCAUUGUAGGCCCAGAGUGACACAGCGAUGCUGUUUUAAACAAGAUAACCCUUUCCCCAAAAUGAAACUAAAUGCCCCCUUCCCAAAACCACCNUUUUUUUUUUUUUUUUUUUUUUUUUUUUUUGUCUUUUUGCCAUUUCUUGGGCUGCUCCCGUGGCAUAUGGAGGUUCCUCGGCUAGGGGUCGAAUCGGAGCUGUAGCCACCAGCCUAUGCCAGAGCCACAGCAAUGCGGGAUCUGAGCCACGUCUGCGACCUACACCACAGCUCACAGCAACACCGGAUCCUUAACCCACUGAGCAAGGCCAGGGAUUGAACCUGCAACCUCAUGG